UGGAAAUGAUGAAAUGGAGGUUACGCGUAGAGGGAUGAGUGUGAAUUGGAGAGCGUGACUGUUUUAUUCAAUACGGAAAGGAAAAAGGUAUAUGUGUGAGAGAGUGAGAGAGAAUAUAUGUGAUGUGUGCAUGCAUUUAGGGCUACAUAAUGAUGCAAACUGUGGACACUGAAAAGAAUUGCUGAUUUUGGAGUGCAUCUGAGGCACAGUUGCUAAAUCAUAGGGCCUUUGCUGCAACAUUGCCUGUGAUUAAAGCCCAAAACAUGUUCUCAGUUUGUUUCUAGAAAUUGUAAACCUCUGACAUGUUCUAAAUGAAUAUGUAAUCUGAUCCAA
Python bivittatus (Burmese python) is the source of this 333-nucleotide non-coding RNA. RefSeq annotates it as small Cajal body-specific RNA 7. Lineage: Eukaryota; Metazoa; Chordata; Lepidosauria; Squamata; Pythonidae. The record is from RefSeq and is a predicted model, not a curated record.